RNAcentral lists this unclassified non-coding RNA (292 nucleotides) under uncultured fungus. RNAcentral describes it as "sequence contains ITS1". The record is from RNAcentral. Lineage: Eukaryota; Fungi.
GGACUACAAGGGUUUCUAAUCCCUUUCGCUCCCCUGGCUUUCGUCCAUGAGCGUCAGUUAUGGCCCAGCAGAGCGCCUUCGCCACUGGUGUUCUUCCCGAUAUCUACGCAUUUCACCGCUACACCGGGAAUUCCCUCUGCCCCUACCACACUCAAGCCUUGUAGUUUCCAUCGCUGAAAUGGAGUUGAGCUCCACGCUUUAACGACAGACUUACAAGGCCGCCUGCGGACGCUUUACGCCCAAUAAUUCCGGAUAACGCUUGCCACUCCCGUAUUACCGCGGCGGCUGGCAC